This 21-nucleotide non-coding RNA is filed under the name Arabidopsis thaliana (thale cress). Lineage: Eukaryota; Viridiplantae; Streptophyta; Magnoliopsida; Brassicales; Brassicaceae. The record is from RNAcentral.
UGAGAAUCUUGAUGAUGCUGC